UCAUAGAUCUUUAGACAGGCCUGUAUGGGGAAACAGAGGAAUAUCCUCAUGGAAGAGAUGGCAGACAGAGGUCAGCUGCAGGUGUGGCCUGUGGGGCCUGCCUGCCAGAUUCUGCUUAGGACUGAGUUAGGUGUAACUGUGCUGCCUCGAUGGCUGUAUGAAAAUCUGGAUAUCAGGAUUAGGACUAGAACCUUUGAAUCCAGGCAUGCCCAAAGAGAGUCCAUCCUGGGAGAAGGCUAAAUGAAGUUUCCUGUGGAAAGGGACUGGAUGCCUAUUAAUCACAAGUUAAUAAAAAUGUAUUUGAUCACUUAGUAUCCAAAGAUAGCCACUACC
RNAcentral lists this long non-coding RNA (333 nucleotides) under Bos taurus (domestic cattle). RNAcentral describes it as "long non-coding RNA NONBTAT024042". The record is from RNAcentral. Lineage: Eukaryota; Metazoa; Chordata; Mammalia; Artiodactyla; Bovidae.